GUGAGGACAAGCCAGUCAAGUCAAUGCAAGAGAGAAAAUUCUCCUUCGAGAGAUAAUUUGUCUACAUUGGACACUGUGAGUGCUGCAAGCUUACAAGCACAAAAAAGGAGCAAAUUCAAGGGAAGAAAUAGGACCAACAAUAAUAACAAGUUUGUUGGUGUUAGGCAACGGCCUUCUGGGAGAUGGGUUGCCGAGAUCAAAGGCACAACACAAAAGAUAAGGAUGUGGCUUGGCACUUUUGAGACUGCUGAAGAAGCUGCAAGGGCUUAUGAUGAAGCUGCCUGCCUUCUUCGCGGAUCGAAUACUCGUACCAACUUCAUCACUCAUGUCUCCUUGGAUUCUCCUCUUGCUUCCAGGAUUCAAAAUCUCCUUAUAAAAGAAA
RNAcentral lists this unclassified non-coding RNA (382 nucleotides) under Hevea brasiliensis (rubber tree). The record is from RNAcentral. Lineage: Eukaryota; Viridiplantae; Streptophyta; Magnoliopsida; Malpighiales; Euphorbiaceae.